UACGUAGGUGGCAAGCGUUGUCCGGAUUUAUUGGGUUUAAAGGGUGCGUAGGCGGUUAUAUAAGUCAGUUCUGAAAUAUCCCGGCUUAACCGGGAGGGUGGCAUUGAUACUGUAUGACUUGAGUAAAGUUGAGGUUGGCGGAAUUGACGGUGUAGCGGUGAAAUGCUUAGAUAUCGUCAAGAACACCGAUAGUGAAGACAGCUAACUAAGCUUUAACUGACGCUGAGGCACGAAAGUGUGGGGAUCAAACAGG
Molecule: ribosomal RNA, 253 nt
Filed under: uncultured bacterium
Lineage: Bacteria
Description: partial 16S ribosomal RNA
Rfam family: Bacterial small subunit ribosomal RNA
Source: RNAcentral